GAUGAACGCUGGCGGCGUGCCUAGUACAUGCAAGUCGAGCGAACAGACGAGGAGCUUGCUCCUCUGACGUUAGCGGCGGACGGGUGAGUAACACGUGGAUAACCUACCUAUAAGACUGGGAUAACUUCGGGAAACCGGAGCUAAUACCGGAUAAUAUAUUGAACCGCAUGGUCCAAUAGUGAAAGACGGUUUUGCUGUCACUUAUAGAUGGAUCCGCGCCGCAUUAGCUAGUUGGUAAGGUAACGGCUUACCAAGGCAACGAUGCGUAGCCGACCUGAGAGGGUGAUCGGCCACACUGGAACUGAGACACGGUCCAGACUCCUACGGGAGGCAGCAGUAGGGAAUCUUCCGCAAUGGGCGAAAGCUUGACGGAGCAACGCCGCGUGAGUGAUGAAGGUCUUCGGAUCGUAAAACUCUGUUAUUAGGGAAGAACAAAUGUGUAAGUAACUAUGCACGUCUUGACGGUACCUAAUCAGAAAGCCACGGCUAACUACGUG
Molecule: ribosomal RNA, 497 nt
Filed under: uncultured bacterium
Lineage: Bacteria
Description: partial 16S ribosomal RNA
Rfam family: Bacterial small subunit ribosomal RNA
Source: RNAcentral